GGAUCCCAGAGCAGGGAGGAUGUCUGCCUCAGCUUGAGGAGCACUGAGGAAGUUCUGUUUUGUCCUCUCUGGUGGUGACCCUGCGAAGCAUCCACCACUUGUGUGCCACAGGAAGGCAGGUGGCUGGGCAGUCCUCAGCUUCCCUCCACAACCCAGUGACCAUGGGUUGAAGCAGUGCUGAGGGCCCCGGGCCCAGGGACAGGCAGUUCUGUGGCUCACACCCUCAUCCGCUGACUCCACUGGGAGAGACAACUUGACGGUCCCACCCUUUUUCUGGUCCACGUGAAUUUGUGAGCCCUGACCUAGUUUCAGAAUCAGUUAAAGGCCUAUGAGCAAGGAGAAAAACAAGAGAUGAGAUGGUUACAAGUACACAGAGAAGCCAAAAGAGAUCUGAGGACAUUUUGAGAAGGAGAAACAGAGCUGAACGCAGACACUGGGCCUGGGAUCAGCUCUAUUCACAAGCAGAUAGAAGCACAGUUUAUUUAAGCAAGGGAAUGACAAAAAAAAAAUAUGGAGAAAUCCUGUCUGCCUGCUCAUCCCUGCCUGUCCCCUAGAGAACCACAGGCAUCCUGACAGUUUCGAAAUUAAACGUGGACUGUUUCUGCACUCAUCCCUGUUCAGCAAAUUCAACUUGGAAACAGAUUUCAUUCAGACAGUGAUUGUUAAUGUGCUCAUAUGAUUUAGGGGCUAAUGCUUUCCUUUGUGGCAUAACUGGAAGAACCAUUAAAGGAAAAAGUAUUCA
Molecule: non-coding RNA, 742 nt
Organism: Macaca mulatta (Rhesus monkey)
Lineage: Eukaryota; Metazoa; Chordata; Mammalia; Primates; Cercopithecidae
Source: RefSeq, a predicted model, not a curated record